Chiroxiphia lanceolata (lance-tailed manakin) is the source of this 1416-nucleotide long non-coding RNA. RefSeq lists it as uncharacterized. The transcript is spliced from 3 exons. The record is from RefSeq and is a predicted model, not a curated record. Lineage: Eukaryota; Metazoa; Chordata; Aves; Passeriformes; Pipridae.
GGGUGUCGAGUGUUCGCCCCCCCCCCCCCCCACCACCUGGGGGUCUCCCCGGUCGGGACAGAAAUCCACGGGAGUCGUGUCACACCGUUGUCCGUGAGGGCAUCGGGACAGGCUGAAUGUGGGAAAGACGUGUGGAAUGAGGCUUGGAAACUGUGUCCCUUGUGGAGUGCGAGGGAACACCCGGAAAAGGAAAGGAACGGCUCGGUGUGGUGUGACCCCGGGCUGAUCCCGCCUCUCGAACACCUUUAGGCGGUUUGCUUAAAGUAUGAAGAUGGAAGCCUGGUGCCUGGAUGUCAGAAGCUCUUCUGUUGAUGCCACCAAAGAGUGAGGGUAUGAGAGACUUAGAACUGCUCAGAGACACUGCAUGGACUGAUGCCUCCUUUGCAUUACUUUGGAUUGGGCAUCUUGAUACAAAUCAGAUCGGUGCUAGGGAGAAAAGGAAAAGAGAAUGGCACCAAAAACACUCUGAGUGAAGAUCAGCCUGCCCAGUAAGUCUUCUUUUUGGAAGCUGAGCUAGGAAGCCUGGAGAAGACUAGAGAUAAUUAUGUGCUUGCUUCUUCUUUCCUGUUGGGAGUGCCUCCCUGACAAUAACUUGAAUCUAAUGACUGUUGAUUGCAAAGCAAGAGGAGCAGGUGAAGAACUUUUUGGGUGACUGCAUCCUUCUUGUAGGGAAUAUAAGCAGCACAGUCCUGAAAGUCUUGCUGCUGGAGGAUUUUCAUUAGCUCUAAUGGAACUUAAUGUCUCAUUUAUAUAAAUUUAAGUGUGUGCAAGUUUGUGUGUGAGUACUGAAAUACAAAUAUAUAUAUAUGCACAUAAGCAUACUGUAUUAGAUAAUAAUCCUAGAUAUUCUCUUUAUUGUUGAUAGCAUUUCUUUAUAUUGUAGAAUUCCACGUUUCUUAUGUAUGUAUCUGUCAAAUAAAGACAAAUAAGGAAGUUAGGUGAUACUAAGCACUUGAAAAAAACCAUAAAAACAAAAUUAAAAAAGACUUCAGGAGAACAGGAGGAAUUAUAAAUAGUUUUAGCUUAAAAGAUGCUGCUCUUACUCCACUUCUGAUCUGUGUUGCCUACUGAUACACAAUUUUCUCUUAAGCUUGAUGACCUCUGAGGAUACCAGAUUCUGCUUUGAAAAGGAUUUUUAAAUCAUCGUGGAUACCUCAACUAAUGUUUUUUCAAGUUUGCAGAAGUCAUUAAAAUGCAAACUCAGGUGAAAUAAAACACUCAUAUGAACAGAACAGCAAAGGGGGCAGUUUCCAUACAACAUGUAGUGAAUCCAUUCUAAACAUGCAUCUGGGAUCACUGCAGUUUCCUGUUUUCUUUCAGGCACUACUCCAUUCCAAAACCAUGCAGAAUGUCUUAGUAUUUACAUUGGUAAGCAUGUCCAGUGUUCAGUGUAUACCUCAAUAUAUUAUCUUGAUA